CAUUAGGACUCUCGGCAACGGAUAUCUCGGCUCUUACAUCGAUGAAGAACGUAGCGAAAUGCGAUACUUGGUGUGAAUUGCAGAAUCCCGUGAACCAUCGAGUCUUUGAACGCAAGUUGCGCCCGAGGCCCUCGGGUCGAGGGCACGCCUGCCUGGGCGUCACGC
RNAcentral lists this ribosomal RNA (165 nucleotides) under Gagea confusa. Its description in RNAcentral is "5.8S ribosomal RNA". It matches the Rfam family "5.8S ribosomal RNA". From Rfam's summary of the family: 5.8S ribosomal RNA (5.8S rRNA) is a component of the large subunit of the eukaryotic ribosome. It is transcribed by RNA polymerase I as part of the 45S precursor that also contains 18S and 28S rRNA. Lineage: Eukaryota; Viridiplantae; Streptophyta; Magnoliopsida; Liliales; Liliaceae. The record is from RNAcentral.